GACACAUGUCGUCUGAAUGGUCCCCUAAAGAAACCCCUAUCUUGACUAUGAAUUCCAGUAUUACUGCUACAUUUUA
Molecule: long non-coding RNA, 76 nt
Organism: Maniola jurtina (meadow brown)
Lineage: Eukaryota; Metazoa; Arthropoda; Insecta; Lepidoptera; Nymphalidae
Exons: 3
Source: RefSeq, a predicted model, not a curated record